UGGGGAAUAUUGCACAAUGGGGGAAACCCUGAUGCAGCGACGCCGCGUGAGCGAAGAAGUAUUUCGGUAUGUAAAGCUCUAUCAGCAGGGAAGAUAAUGACGGUACCUGACUAAGAAGCCCCGGCUAACUACGUGCCAGCAGCCGCGGUAAUACGUAGGGGGCAAGCGUUAUCCGGAUUUACUGGGUGUAAAGGGAGCGUAGACGGCGAAGCAAGUCUGGUGUGAAACCCCGGGGCUCAACCUCGGGCCUGCAUUGGAAACUGUUUUGCUUGAGUGCCGGAGAGGUAAGCGGAAUUCCUAGUGUAGCGGUGAAAUGCGUAGAUAUUAGGAGGAACACCAGUGGCGAAGGCGGCUUACUGGACGGCAACUGACGUUGAGGCUCGAAAGCGUGGGGAGCAAACA
This 402-nucleotide ribosomal RNA is filed under the name uncultured bacterium. Its description in RNAcentral is "bacterial SSU rRNA". It matches the Rfam family "Bacterial small subunit ribosomal RNA", at positions 355 to 774 of the family's 1533-position model. The record is from RNAcentral.